RNAcentral lists this ribosomal RNA (379 nucleotides) under uncultured bacterium. Its description in RNAcentral is "partial 16S ribosomal RNA". It matches the Rfam family "Bacterial small subunit ribosomal RNA", at positions 338 to 709 of the family's 1533-position model. The record is from RNAcentral.
CCUACGGGUGGCUGCAGUAGGGAAUUUUUCACAAUGGGCGAAAGCCUGAUGGAGCAAUGCCGCGUGAAUGAUGAAGGUCUUAUAGAUUGUAAAAUUCUUUUAUUUGGGAAGAAAAACUAAAGUAGGAAAUGACUUUAGUCUGACUGUACCAUUUGAAUAAGUAUCGGCUAACUAUGUGCCAGCAGCGGCGGUAAUACAUAGGAUGCAAGCGUUAUCCGGAUUUACUGGGCGUAAAACGAGCGCAGGCGGGUUAACAAGUUUGGUAUAAAAGGCUUUUGGUUAACAAAAGUUUGUAUCAGAAAGUGUUAAUCUAGAGUGUGGUAGAGAGUGGUGGAAUUCCAGGUGGAGCGGUAGAAUCCGUAGAUAUAUAGAAGAACAC